This 86-nucleotide transfer RNA is filed under the name Pseudomonadota bacterium. RNAcentral's name for it is "tRNA-Leu". It matches the Rfam family "tRNA". Rfam says of the family: Transfer RNA (tRNA) molecules are approximately 80 nucleotides in length. The record is from RNAcentral. RNAcentral also lists the same sequence under 2 other names. Lineage: Bacteria; Pseudomonadati; Pseudomonadota.
GGGGCGAUGGCGGAAUCGGCAGACGCAGAGGACUUAAAAUCCUCCGAGGGUGACACCUCAUGUGGGUUCGACCCCCACUCGCCCCA